UGUGGGAGGGGGCUUGCCCCCGAUAGCGCCGUGUCAGCCAUAUACACAUUGGCUGAUCCAUCACUAUCGGGGGCAAGCCCCCUCCCACA
RNAcentral lists this unclassified non-coding RNA (89 nucleotides) under Pseudomonas azotoformans. Lineage: Bacteria; Pseudomonadati; Pseudomonadota; Gammaproteobacteria; Pseudomonadales; Pseudomonadaceae. The record is from RNAcentral.